GGCAGAGCAGAGGUGGGCCUGCGCGCAUCUCUCGGCACCUCUGUGAUCCGCGCGCCACACCUCGAGGCCACGCCCCUGGCUCGGGGCCACCUGUCAGAAGCAGAAGAGAGAAGGGUCCGCCCCCAGACAGGUGCAGAGCCCGGGAGGUGCGGGAUGCUGGUUCCUGCAAGUGCAAGGUGACCUGCGCGCUCUUACUGGGGUGCAGUGGAAAUCUGAGGUGCACCACCUUACAGAUUGAUGGAUCUUUGUUGCGGCCGGCGCCAUGUUGCACGCGGCCGCAUCAUCUUGGACGCGACUGGCGUCAUCCCAGACGCGACCGGAGCCAUAUUGAGCACAAAAUGGCCGCCAGUCUUUACCCUACCUCAUGGUUUUCUUAGACAAAGAAUCGCUUCUACUCCCGCCUAGAGGUACCUCCCAUCUUGAUUACAUCAGCCCUACCCACCACAACAGCAGCAAUCGUGGGCCUUUUCCUACACACCAGCACCCCCCCCCCCCCGCCUGCGUUUUUUGGUGCCCACCAACCGGUGUAAGCCUGUGGACUCCAUUUAGCUGCUGCUGUAUGCCAUUUUGAGUGCAGCCUGGCAGAUUUUUCUUCCCUUAAUAAAGCUUGAACGGUACCUGGC
Cynocephalus volans (Philippine flying lemur) is the source of this 623-nucleotide long non-coding RNA. RefSeq lists it as uncharacterized. NCBI's taxonomy places the organism in Eukaryota, Metazoa, Chordata, Mammalia, Dermoptera, Cynocephalidae. The record is from RefSeq and is a predicted model, not a curated record. The transcript is spliced from 2 exons.